UACGUAGGGGGCUAGCGUUAUCCGGAAUUACUGGGCGUAAAGGGUGCGUAGGUGGUUUCUUAAGACAGAGGUGAAAGGCUACGGCUCAACCGUAGUAAGCCUUUGAAACUGGGGAACUUGAGUGCAGGAGAGGAGAGUGGAAUUCCUAGUGUAGCGGUGAAAUGCGUAGAUAUUAGGAGGAACACCAGUUGCGAAGGCGGCUCUCUGGACUGUAACUGACACUGAGGCACGAAAGCGUGGGGAGCAAACAGG
This 252-nucleotide ribosomal RNA is filed under the name uncultured bacterium. Its description in RNAcentral is "partial 16S ribosomal RNA". It matches the Rfam family "Bacterial small subunit ribosomal RNA", at positions 524 to 776 of the family's 1533-position model. The record is from RNAcentral.